UCUGUAGAGUAGGACUGGCGGAAACCAAAUUGUUCAUGUAUUAGAAUGUUAUUGUGCAUUAAGUGGUUGUAAAGUCUUUUAUAAACGACGCGCUCAAGGAUCUUUGAGAAUGUAGGCAAUAGGGAUAUUGGGCGAAUGGAUCUAUAAUGGAAGGAUUGAACCUGUGGAGGAUCAACGCAGACAAACGUUUUGAGGGCAUUGAAGACUGUAUGAUCUGUUUCUCUGUUAUCCAUGGUGGAAACUGCUCCCUACCAAAACUUACUUGUAAGACUUGCAAGAAGCGCUUCCACUCAGCAUGUUUGUACAAAUGGUUCAGUACUAGUACGCAGUCUUCUUGCCCUCUCUGUCGAAGUCCAUUCUGAGAACCAAAGCUAGAAAAGUGCAAUCUUGGUGGAUUACUCAUUAUCCUGCCUUAUUCUUCAGGCAAAUUUAUAUCUGUGUUUUUCUUGAAGAAAUAUGUAUUUGUCAAAGGGCACUUUCAAUACCUUAUUCUAUCAUGUAUCAAUAUCCUAUUUGGAUUUAAAUAUAUCUUGAAGAGGACAGAACACCCACUGAUCGAAACAAUGUAGUUUCACUGAGAAAAUACAUUUUCUUAUAAAAUUAGCCUGACAAUGCCUCUUAAUUUAAUCUGGUGAUUGAUUCACAAAGAAAUGUAUCAUAAGGGUUAUGCAUACUGAUGAAACUUUGUUAUUACCUCAUGAAAUUGUCUUAUUGUUCGCUGAAAUUACCCGAUGUUGCUUUUCCAUGAUUUUAUGUUAUGUGUGGGGCCUGAUAUCUGGCCCUGUCAAAGGUCAUACCUCAUCCACAUCCCAUAGAAAUAUGUGGUAAUGAUUUGAUAUCAGCGGUUUGCAUCCACUUGGCCAACUAGCAGAUGGUCUAUUUCUCAGAUCGUCUUACUCCAUCAUAGCUAGGCAUCUGAACUUCCCAAAGUAAAUCAUGUCCUGCUUUUUUGUUCGAUACCCUGAUAAAAAAAAAACAAUUGAGGAAAAGCAAAGUUCUGUUUCUUAAAAGUAAUCCUUGCAUUUCCAUAAUUUCAAUCAUAAACUCUUUAAGAGAUGAAAGAGGAGAUUUUAAGCUUGACAAUGAUAGGUCAUUUGUCUAUCAUUUUUGUGAUGAAGUUAUGAUACAGCCAUGAUAAAUCUUCGCUUCUUUUUUUUUGUUGGACGCACUGUAUACUAUUCCUUAAUAAAGUAACAAGAUUUUUAAAAUCUUUCCCCACAACUUAAGUUCCCUGUUGUACCGGAAACAUCUUAGACUACAACAACAGAAAACUAUUUCCUGAUUAGGAGUUUCCUUGAACAGUGCGGCAUCCAUAUUAUACUUAUGAAAAAUGGAAAUCCAUAUUUUAUCAUUGAAAUUAAAUCUGAAAAAAAAGUACUUCAAAAAUUGUUUUUGCCCAAAAUUGAUCAUGGGCUCGGCAGCCACUGUGCAGCUGCAGAUCGACGUAGCUCUAUCCGUUAAAUUGAUGAACACCAAACAGGAUAGCAGCAACUCCUAUCUUUUAACCUCUGACACGGCCGGGCUGGAACGCGGCCCGACUUUCGGUUGUGAGACGGACGCUAUACCAACUGAGCCAACACGCCAGUAUUAUUAAAAAUAACAAGACUGGAGGAGGCAUUGUUAUUAAAAUGGGUUUCAUGUUGAUAUCUCGCGUCCUUGAACAGUGUGUAAAGGCCACAGCACACCUUACGACUGUUUACGAUCCAAUUUUGGAACAAAUCGCAUUUUGCUCAUUUUCUGAAAAUGUGAAUGGAACAUAUCAUUUUAUUUGAGGUUAAAAUUAAUUGAAAGAAUACUAAUAUAACCAUUUUGAAAGAUUGCAAGCCUUUAUUUUGGAGUAAAGGCCAAAUUAGUUUCUAAUUGUAGCCAAUCGUACGACUGCUAUGACGUCAUUACGACUAGAUAAAUAAUUUGCUUUUAUUCUAAGAAGGAUGAUAGCAUAGUCACAGAUUUGAAGAGAGGUAUUGGUAUGAUGAUUUUGAACAUUACGCAGUAAGAUAUUCCAAGUCUCAAUAUUAGCAUCAAAUUCUACUACGUUUUAUUCCAAAAUUGAGUCGCAGACCAAUCGUAAGGUGUGCGGUCGCCUUUAGGAACUUCAAUAUGUGUGGAUACAAUAUCAAUAUUCCUGUGAAAAUUUAGACUGCCAACAUCUGCCCACACUUACAGGCACUGUUAACUCAACUCUUCUAGGAUUUACUUUACAAUUUGUGUGUCUAAAUAAAAAGCUUUACCCGUUUGAAAUGGCUGCUAAGUGAAGAGAAUAUGGUUUGGCGGGGGUGGGCCCCACCUUUUUCAGUAAAGUAGUAACCUCUGUCAUCUGUCCAUGGUAGCUCAUCGACUUUACUUUCAUAAAAUACCUUAAAAUCUAAAAAUCAUUCAGAAUCUGAAGCCCCCCCCCCACUUUUUCCAGUAAUCAUCUAAAUACGCAAAAAUUACAAUCUGAUUAUGGUUUUUUUCUUACGAUGGUCAUCACCCCCCUGCAAAAUCAUUUUGCAGCCCCUGUAUAGGACUUAACUUUCAUAUGACACCAAAAGUCAGAUGAUUAUUCAUGCCUUGGGGAGCACUGCUCGCUUUCGUAACCAUGGGUAUGACAAUUACUAGUAGGUUGCGUAGGAAUUGGUGUUCAAAUUUGAUUUGAUAAAGCCCCAAAUUAUUUCCCUUUCGCCAAUAGGAUGUUCCAUUCUUGCACAACGUAACGUCCAUAUACUUUUACCUGUGAAUUUUAAAAAUACUUUUUGAGUGUCAUUUAAAAUAAAAGUAGAUGAGCUGGUAUGGACAGCUGACAAGGGUUACUUGAUCAAUUAUAAUGUAUCAUGAAAAUUUUAUUCCAUAAAUUGCUUGGUUGAUUUGUUUAUGUAAAAUCAUAAUGCUUUUUCAGUAUUUAUAUUGAAUAUCUUUUUUGAGUAAAAAAGUGAAAAUGAAGAGGGAUGCUUUUAGUCUCCAUAUUAAAAUAUAAGUGUACUAUUUAAAAUACAACACCUGAAUGCAAACCUUUCCAGACAUACCUUGCGGUAAUGUUGCAAGGAAUUUUCUGUCAGGUGUAAAUUUUGUUUCCAAAUUUAGCAAAUAAAAUUGAAUGAUCAAUUUGUGUAUUGGAGAUCAAUUUAUUUUUGUUUGUACAAAGCAACCAGGGAUCAAUUGCAAAAUAUAGUUGGUUUUUAUUCAUUAAAUUGACUUAUGAUUUAUUGUAAUUUCCUCCAUCAUCCAAAGAUCUACAAUUUGUCAGAUAUUUCAUGUUGUGUUGACAAAUUCCUAACAGGGGACAGUUUCAUGAAUUCAUUACACUGAGUGGUACAAGCUACUGAAAUCCUUGCAUCAGAUUGGGUAAGAGCAAACUUUUCAGUUAAAAGCACUGUUAUAAUACUUCAUGAAAUCCUCCCCCAUCUAUAUAGAAAUAAUGAUAGGUGCACGCAUUGAGAAAGAAACAAAGACUGAAUCGUCUUUAAUGUUUUUUAAGUGAGAAGUAAAGGCAUAUUUUCUCAUAAAUGCAAUAAAUGAAAUUAUAAGCUA
This is a long non-coding RNA of Lytechinus pictus (painted urchin), 3510 nucleotides long. RefSeq lists it as uncharacterized. NCBI's taxonomy places the organism in Eukaryota, Metazoa, Echinodermata, Echinoidea, Temnopleuroida, Toxopneustidae. The record is from RefSeq and is a predicted model, not a curated record. The transcript has 4 exons.